RNAcentral lists this transfer RNA (53 nucleotides) under Centrorhynchus aluconis. RNAcentral's name for it is "tRNA-Gly". Lineage: Eukaryota; Metazoa; Acanthocephala; Palaeacanthocephala; Polymorphida; Centrorhynchidae. The record is from RNAcentral.
AGAUACUUAGUAUAGGGGUACGGACGAUUUCCAUUUGUCAGGCUAUGUAUCUA